UUAAAGAUAGUGAUAAGGAAUAGUAUAUAUUAGUUAACUUUUAAGAGAGCUAGAAGUUGGUGGAAUCUAGUAAGUGAGCUUUAUAGAAGCAGCCUUUGAAUUUUAUAGCUGAAAAAUAAAGAUUAUAAUUAACAUAAUUUUUAAUUAGGCUAUGACGCGUUCCUCGCGUUAUAGAGGAAGAGCAUGUAUGUGCUCUAGCUGAGUGAACAAUACUUGUAUUGUUUAUUAGGGUGGUACCGCGAAGUAGUUCCUUCGUCCCUUGU
This 263-nucleotide non-coding RNA is filed under the name Clostridium chromiireducens. Its description in RNAcentral is "T-box sequence". It matches the Rfam family "T-box leader". From Rfam's summary of the family: Uncharged tRNA acts as the effector for transcription antitermination of genes in the T-box leader family. T-boxes are found upstream of many aminoacyl-tRNA synthetase genes and some amino acid biosynthetic genes usually in Gram-positive bacteria. The anticodon of a specific tRNA base pairs to a specifier sequence within the T-box motif, and the NCCA acceptor tail of the tRNA base pairs to a conserved bulge in the T-box antiterminator hairpin. Lineage: Bacteria; Bacillati; Bacillota; Clostridia; Eubacteriales; Clostridiaceae. The record is from RNAcentral.